Molecule: long non-coding RNA, 1989 nt
Filed under: Citrus x clementina
Lineage: Eukaryota; Viridiplantae; Streptophyta; Magnoliopsida; Sapindales; Rutaceae
Description: Citrus clementina (C. clementina) long non-coding RNA (CCLE_LNC006001)
Source: RNAcentral
CCAGACCCACCAGCGGAAAAAUGGCCAAAAAACGGUGGGCUAUUGCCUUGGUGGGGUGCGUGGGCGAAGUUCGUCCGCGGGACUCGGAAUGGCACCAGACUUGGCGGGCGGCCUCCGUGUGCCAAAAAUAGGCCACGGGCACAGCCGCGCCCAAAAAACAGCCCCCGAAGUUCGGGGUCCCAAGACCCCCCAGCGGAAAAAUGGCCAAAAAACGGGUGGGCUAUAGCCUUGGUGGGGGGCGUGGGCGAAGUUCGUCCGCGGGACUCGGAAUGGCACCAGACUUGGCGGGCGGCCUCCGUGUGCCAAAAAUAGGCCACGGGCACAGCCGCGCCCAAAAAACAGCCCCCAAAGUUCGGGGUCCCAAGACCCCCCAGCGGAAAAAUGGCCAAAAAACGGUGGGCUAUAGCCUUCGUGGGGGGCGUGGGCGAAGUUCGUCCGCGGGACUCGGAAUGGCACCAGACUUGGCGGGCGGCCUCCGUGUGCCAAAAAUAGGCCACGGGCACAGCCGCGCCCAAAAAACAGCCCCCGAAGUUCGGGGUCCCGGACCCCCCAGCGGAAAAAUGGCCAAAAAACGGGUGGGCUAUAGCCUUGGUGGGGGGCGUGGGCGAAGUUCGUCCGCGGGACUCGGAAUGGCACCAGACUUGGCGGGCGGCCUCCGUGUGCCAAAAAUAGGCGACGGGCACAGCCGCGCCCAAAAAACAGCCCCCGAAGUUCGGGGUCCCAAGACCCCCAAGCGGAAAAAUGGCCAAAAAACGGGUGGGCUAUAGCCUUGGUGGGGGGCGUGGGCGAAGUUCGUCCGCGGGACUCGGAAUGGCACCAGACUUGGCGGGCGGCCUCCGUGUGCCAAAAAUAGGCCACGGGCACAGCCGCGCCCAAAAAACAGCCCCCGAAGUUCGGGGUCCCAAGACCCCCCAGCGGAAAAAUGGCCAAAAAACGGGUGGGCUAUAGCCUUGGUGGGGGGCGUGGGCGAAGUUCGUCCGCGGGACUCGGAAUGGCACCAGACUUGGCGGGCGGCCUCCGUGUGCCAAAAAUAGGCCACGGGCACAGCCGCGCCCAAAAAACAGCUCCCGAAGUUCGGGGUCCCAAGACCCCCCAGCGGAAAAAUGGCCAAAAAACGGGUGGGCUAUAGCCUUGGUGGGGGGCGUGGGCGAAGUUCGUCCGCGGGACUCGGAAUGGCACCAGACUUGGCGGGCGGCCUCCGUGUGCCAAAAAUAGGCCACGGGCACAGCCGCACCCAAAAAACAGCCCCCGAAGUUCGGGGUCCCAAGACCCCCCAGCGGAAAAAUGGCCAAAAAACGGGUGGGCUAUAGCCUUGGUGGGGGGCGUGGGCGAAGUUCGUCCGCGGGACUCGGAAUGGCACCAGACUUGGCGGGCGGCCUCCGUGUGCCUAAAAUAGGCCACGGGCACAGCCGCGCCUAAAAAACAGCCCCCGAAGUUCGGGGUCCCAAGACCCCCCAGCGGAAAAAUGGCCAAAAAACGGUGGGCUAUAGCCUUGGUGGGGGGCGUGGGCGAAGUUCGUCCGCGGGACUCGGAAUGGCACCAGACUUGGCGGGCGGCCUCCGUGUGCCAAAAAUAGGCCACGGGCACAGCCGCGCCCAAAAAACAGCCCCCGAAGUUCGGGGUCCCAAGACCCCCCAGCGGAAAAAUGGCCAAAAAACGGGCGGGCUAUAGCCUUGGUGGGGGGCGUGGGCGAAGUUCGUCCACGGGACUCGGAAUGGCACCAGACUUGGCGGGCGGCCUCCGUGUGCCAAAAAUAGGCCACGGGCACAGCCGCGCCCAAAAAACAGCCCCCGAAGUUCGGGGUCCCAAGACCCCCCAGCGGAAAAAUGGCCAAAAAACGGGUGGGCUAUAGCCUUGGUGGGGGGCGUGGGCGAAGUUCGUCCGCGGGACUCAGAAUGGCACCAGACUUGGCGGGCGGCCUCCGUGUGCCAAAAAUAGGCCACGGGCACAGCCGCGCCCAAAAAACAGCCCCCGAAGUUCGGGGUCCCA